Molecule: ribosomal RNA, 289 nt
Filed under: uncultured bacterium
Lineage: Bacteria
Description: partial 16S ribosomal RNA
Rfam family: Bacterial small subunit ribosomal RNA
Source: RNAcentral
AAUGAACGCUGGCGGCAUGCCUAACACAUGCAAGUCGAACGAGAUACUGACUUCGGUUGGUAUCUAGUGGCGCACGGGUGCGUAACGCGUGGGAAUCUGCCCUUGGGUUCGGAAUAACAGUGAGAAAUUACUGCUAAUACCGGAUAAUGACGUAAGUCCAAAGAUUUAUCGCCCAGGGAUGAGCCCGCGUAAGAUUAGCUAGUUGGUGGGUAAAGGACCCGACCAAGGCGACGAUCUUUAGUCUGGUCUGAGAGGAUGAUCAGCCACACUGGGACUGAGACACGGCCCA